RNAcentral lists this ribosomal RNA (497 nucleotides) under uncultured bacterium. RNAcentral's name for it is "partial 16S ribosomal RNA". It matches the Rfam family "Bacterial small subunit ribosomal RNA", at positions 28 to 507 of the family's 1533-position model. The record is from RNAcentral.
GAUGAACGCUGGCGGCGUGCCUAAUACAUGCAAGUCGAGCGAACGGACGAGAAGCUUGCUUCUCUGAUGUUAGCGGCGGACGGGUGAGUAACACGUGGAUAACCUACCUAUAAGACUGGGAUAACUUCGGGAAACCGGAGCUAAUACCGGAUGAUAUUUUGAACCGCAUGGUUCAAAAGUGAAAGACGGUCUUGCUGUCACUUAUAGAUGGAUCCGCGCUGCAUUAGCUAGUUGGUAAGGUAACGGCUUACCAAGGCAACGAUGCAUAGCCGACCUGAGAGGGUGAUCGGCCACACUGGGACUGAGACACGGUCCAGACUCCUACGGGAGGCAGCAGUAGGGAAUCUUCCGCAAAGGGCGAAAGCCUGACGGAGCAACGCCGCGUGAGUGAUGAAGGUCUUCGGAUCGUAAAACUCUGUUAUUAGGGAAGAACAUAUGUGUAAGUAACUGUGCACAUCUUGACGGUACCUAAUCAGAAAGCCACGGCUAACUACGUG